UACGGAGGGUGCGAGCGUUAUCCGGAAUUACUGGGUUUAAAGGGUGCGUAGGCGGCCGGGUAAGUCAGGAGUGAAAGUUUGCGGCUCAACCGUAAAAUUGCUUUUGAUACUGCCGGGCUAGAAUUAGGAUGAGGUCAGCGGAAUGUGGCAUGUAGCGGUGAAAUGCAUAGAUAUGCCAUAGAACACCAAUUGCGAAGGCAGCUGGCUAGACCUGGAUUGACGCUGAGGCACGAAAGCGUGGGGAGCGAACAGG
This 253-nucleotide ribosomal RNA is filed under the name uncultured bacterium. RNAcentral's name for it is "partial 16S ribosomal RNA". It matches the Rfam family "Bacterial small subunit ribosomal RNA", at positions 524 to 776 of the family's 1533-position model. The record is from RNAcentral.